UUAAAUCACAAUAUUUAUAUCUGGGUGCAUAACUGGUUUACCCCAGUUCCUAGAUAGUGCCGAAAGAGUGGAUUAUUAUAGACUGAUAGGUUUAUAGUAACAGCCAUUAAGGUGUAUGCGAAUAUAUCUUAAAAGUCCAAAAGACAAUUCAAGGCAUUAGUGCAAGCACACAACUUAAUAAAUUAGUUAAUUUGUCGCAAUCACAAUAGACGCUCCAGUGGAGAAUAACCCUUAAACAGUUUGGCAAGUAGUGUUGAGAAUAUGCAAGGGAAUACUAAUAAGAUUGUUAGACUUGAAGUUGCGUAAGCAAUGUAUAAGACAGAUUAAUGUUAAAGUAGCCGAAAGUCUAUAGCCAAAGAGCGAAAAAGGCGUUAACUUUUCUGAAUGUUCGGUGAAAUUUGAUGGCAACAAUCCGUUUACGGGAUCUCAAUGGGCAAGAAGUGUAUGGGUCGCUCCUAUAUGCUCAGACUUGUCUUCCGUAUGAAUGAAUAAUUAUUUUGUGUGUAAAGUUUGUAAGGCGAAGGUCUAUAAAUAUUGUGAUUUA
Molecule: small RNA, 544 nt
Filed under: pig gut metagenome
Description: ROOL RNA
Rfam family: ROOL RNA
About the family: Firmicutes, Fusobacteria (1 example), Tenericutes (1 example). Environment (Cow rumen (57))
Source: RNAcentral